Molecule: ribosomal RNA, 406 nt
Filed under: uncultured bacterium
Lineage: Bacteria
Description: partial 16S ribosomal RNA
Rfam family: Bacterial small subunit ribosomal RNA
Source: RNAcentral
AUUGAACUCUGGCGGCAGGCCUAACACAUGCAAGUCGAGCGAGCGGCGGACGGGUGAGUAAUGUCUGGGGAUCUGCCCGAUCGAGGGGGAUAACUACUGGAAACGGUGGCUAAUACCGCAUACUAUCGGAUGAACCACUAUUGGAUUAGCUAGUAGGUGGGGUAAAGGCUAACUGAGGCGACGAUCUCUAGCUGGUCUGAGAGGAUGAUGAGCAAAACUGGAACUGAGACACGGCCCAGAUUCCGACGGGAGGCAGCAGUGGGGAAUAUUGCCCAAGGGGCGCAAGCCUGAUAGAGCAAUGACGCGUGUAUGAAGAAGGCCGGAGGGUUGUAAAGUACUUUCAGCGGGGAGGAGUUACCCGCAGAAGAAGCACCGGCUAACUCAGUGCCAGCAGCCGCGGUAAUUG